GACAGCAGUCGCCGCGGUAAUACGGAGGGGGCUAGCGUUGUUCGGAAUUACUGGGCGUAAAGCGCACGUAGGCGGCUUGGUAAGUUAGAGGUGAAAGCCCGGAGCUCAACUCCGGAAUUGCCUUUAAGACUGCCGAGCUAGCAGGUGAGAGAGGUAAGUGGAAUUCCGAGUGUAGAGGUGAAAUUCGUAGAUAUUCGGAAGAACACCAGUGGCGAAGGCGGCUUACUGGCUCAUACUGGACGCUGAGGUGCGAAAGCGUGGGGAGCAAACAGGAUUAGAUACCCCGGUAGUCCCUGUCUCUUAUAC
RNAcentral lists this ribosomal RNA (306 nucleotides) under uncultured bacterium. Its description in RNAcentral is "partial 16S ribosomal RNA". It matches the Rfam family "Bacterial small subunit ribosomal RNA", at positions 507 to 807 of the family's 1533-position model. The record is from RNAcentral.